Long non-coding RNA from Zea mays, 751 nucleotides. RefSeq lists it as uncharacterized. NCBI's taxonomy places the organism in Eukaryota, Viridiplantae, Streptophyta, Magnoliopsida, Poales, Poaceae. The transcript is spliced from 3 exons. The record is from RefSeq and is a predicted model, not a curated record.
UGCUUCCACCACCGCGGCCGUAGAGGCGGAAGCAAGGGGUUGGGCUUCUGUCGGUGUUGGACAGCGCGAUGCCAAACGUGCCAGCCACUCUUGCUGCCGUCCGCCUCCCUCUUCCACGAUAGGUUCGCCCGCACCGAGCCUAGACGCAGAUAGCUCUCGACCGUCCGCUACAGCGCUGUCGAAGAGACGGUAAUGGAGGAGGCCUCGCCCGAGACGGUGGAGGAGCCACUGCUGGUGAGCGCAAUCAGAGGGAAAAAGGUUGAGAGGGCACCAAUCUGGCUCAUGAGGCAAGCCGAGAGUGCCUCAAGAUUCUGAAGGUUUCUGUCAACCUGACAUGCACCACGGAAUGGAGGUUCGCCUUGGUUUGUCCAAGGGACCUAUCUGCCCUAGCUUCAGUUGAGGCAGUGAAUGUAGUUCUGCGGUUCUGCCGCACAUUGAUGCACCUUAGUACAGUACACUCGGGUUAAUAAAGACCACAUUAGGAUGGUGAAACGGUGAAAACUGAUGGCUUGCAUAUGUUCAGAGUGUUAUGUUGUAAUGAAUGCAUACUGCGAAGCAUCGCAGUUGAGCUUUAGGAUCUCUGCAGCUGCAGGUGACUUCUUUCGUACUCGAAUUAGAGUUAGCUGUGAAUUGCAAUUCUUUUGUUAUUUUUCUCUAACUUGUACGAGGAAAGCAAUCCAUAGGAAUUUUUAAAUAUGCAAACAAAAUCCAUAGGAAUAUUUGGUGCAUGGCUGAUUUUUUUCACUAAUUA